GCCGGGUGUGGUGGUGGGCGCCUGUAAUUCCAGCUACUUAGGAGGCUGAGGCAGGAGAAUCACUUGAACCCAGGAGGCGGAGGUUGCAGUGAGCUGAGAUUGUGCCACUGCUCUCCAGCCUGGGUGACAGAGUGAGACUCUGUCUCAU
This is an unclassified non-coding RNA of Macaca fascicularis (crab-eating macaque), 148 nucleotides long. It matches the Rfam family "Metazoan signal recognition particle RNA". From Rfam's summary of the family: The signal recognition particle (SRP) is a universally conserved ribonucleoprotein. It is involved in the co-translational targeting of proteins to membranes. The record is from Ensembl. Lineage: Eukaryota; Metazoa; Chordata; Mammalia; Primates; Cercopithecidae.